UUAAAUUGAAGAGUUUGAUCAUGGCUCAGAUUGAACGCUGGCGGCAGGCCUAACACAUGCAAGUCGAACGGUAACAGGAAGCAGCUUGCUGCUUCGCUGACGAGUGGCGGACGGGUGAGUAAUGUCUGGGAAACUGCCUGAUGGAGGGGGAUAACUACUGGAAACGGUAGCUAAUACCGCAUAACGUCGCAAGACCAAAGAGGGGGACCUUCGGGCCUCUUGCCAUCGGAUGUGCCCAGAUGGGAUUAGCUAGUAGGUGGGGUAACGGCUCACCUAGGCGACGAUCCCUAGCUGGUCUGAGAGGAUGACCAGCCACACUGGAACUGAGACACGGUCCAGACUCCUACGGGAGGCAGCAGUGGGGAAUAUUGCACAAUGGGCGCAAGCCUGAUGCAGCCAUGCCGCGUGUAUGAAGAAGGCCUUCGGGUUGUAAAGUACUUUCAGCGGGGAGGAAGGGAGUAAAGUUAAUACCUUUGCUCAUUGACGUUACCCGCAGAAGAAGCACCGGCUAACUCCGUGCCAGCAGCCGCGGUAAUACGGAGGGUGCAAGCGUUAAUCGGAAUUACUGGGCGUAAAGCGCACGCAGGCGGUUUGUUAAGUCAGAUGUGAAAUCCCCAGGCUCAACCUGGGAACUGCAUCUGAUACUGGCAAGCUUGAGUCUCGUAGAGGGGGGUAGAAUUCCAGGUGUAGCGGUGAAAUGCGUAGAGAUCUGGAGGAAUACCGGUGGCGAAGGCGGCCCCCUGGACGAAGACUGACGCUCAGGUGCGAAAGCGUGGGGAGCAAACAGGAUUAGAUACCCUGGUAGUCCACGCCGUAAACGAUGUCGACUUGGAGGUUGUGCCCUUGAGGCGUGGCUUCCGGAGCUAACGCGUUAAGUCGACCGCCUGGGGAGUACGGCCGCAAGGUUAAAACUCAAAUGAAUUGACGGGGGCCCGCACAAGCGGUGGAGCAUGUGGUUUAAUUCGAUGCAACGCGAAGAACCUUACCUGGUCUUGACAUCCACGGAAGUUUUCAGAGAUGAGAAUGUGCCUUCGGGAACCGUGAGACAGGUGCUGCAUGGCUGUCGUCAGCUCGUGUUGUGAAAUGUUGGGUUAAGUCCCGCAACGAGCGCAACCCUUAUCCUUUGUUGCCAGCGGUCCGGCCGGGAACUCAAAGGAGACUGCCAGUGAUAAACUGGAGGAAGGUGGGGAUGACGUCAAGUCAUCAUGGCCCUUACGACCAGGGCUACACACGUGCUACAAUGGCGCAUACAAAGAGAAGCGACCUCGCGAGAGCAAGCGGACCUCAUAAAGUGCGUCGUAGUCCGGAUUGGAGUCUGCAACUCGACUCCAUGAAGUCGGAAUCGCUAGUAAUCGUGGAUCAGAAUGCCACGGUGAAUACGUUCCCGGGCCUUGUACACACCGCCCGUCACACCAUGGGAGUGGGUUGCAAAAGAAGUAGGUAGCUUAACCUUCGGGAGGGCGCUUACCACUUUGUGAUUCAUGACUGGGGUGAAGUCGUAACAAGGUAACCGUAGGGGAACCUGCGGUUGGAUCACCUCCUUACCUUAAAGAAGC
Molecule: ribosomal RNA, 1556 nt
Filed under: Escherichia coli
Lineage: Bacteria; Pseudomonadati; Pseudomonadota; Gammaproteobacteria; Enterobacterales; Enterobacteriaceae
Description: bacterial SSU rRNA
Rfam family: Bacterial small subunit ribosomal RNA
Source: RNAcentral